AGAGUUUGAUCAUGGCUCAGAUUGAACGCUGGCGGCAGGCCUAACACAUGCAAGUCGAACGGUAACAGGAAGCAGCUUGCUGCUUUGCUGACGAGUGGCGGACGGGUGAGUAAUGUCUGGGAAACUGCCUGAUGGAGGGGGAUAACUACUGGAAACGGUAGCUAAUACCGCAUAACGUCGCAAGACCAAAGAGGGGGACCUUAGGGCCUCUUGCCAUCGGAUGUGCCAGAUGGGAUUAGCUAGUAGGUGGGGUAACGGCUCACCUAGGCGACGAUCCCUAGCUGGUCUGAGAGGAUGACCAGCCACACUGGAACUGAGACACGGUCCAGACUCCUACGGGAGGCAGCAGUGGGGAAUAUUGCACAAUGGGCGCAAGCCUGAUGCAGCCAUGCCGCGUGUAUGAAGAAGGCCUUCGGGUUGUAAAGUACUUUCAGCGGGGAGGAAGGGAGUAAAGUUAAUACCUUUGCUCAUUGACGUUACCCGCAGAAGAAGCACCGGCUAACUCCGUGCCAGCAGCCGCGGUAAUACGGAGGGUGCAAGCGUUAAUCGGAAUUACUGGGCGUAAAGCGCACGCAGGCGGUUUGUUAAGUCAGAUGUGAAAUCCCCGGGCUCAACCUGGGAACUGCAUCUGAUACUGGCAAGCUUGAGUCUCGUAGAGGGGGGUAGAAUUCCAGGUGUAGCGGUGAAAUGCGUAGAGAUCUGGAGGAAUACCGGUGGCGAAGGCGGCCCCCUGGACGAAGACUGACGCUCAGGUGCGAAAGCGUGGGGAGCAAACAGGAUUAGAUACCCUGGUAGUCCACGCCGUAAACGAUGUCGACUUGGAGGUUGUGCCUUGAGGCGUGGCUUCCGGAGCUAACGCGUUAAGUCGACCGCCUGGGGAGUACGGCCGCAAGGUUAAAACUCAAAUGAAUUGACGGGGGCCCGCACAAGCGGUGGAGCAUGUGGUUUAAUUCGAUGCAACGCGAAGAACCUUACCUGGUCUUGACAUCCACGGAAGUUUUCAGAGAUGAGAAUGUGCCUUCGGGAACCGUGAGACAGGUGCUGCAUGGCUGUCGUCAGCUCGUGUUGUGAAAUGUUGGGUUAAGUCCCGCAACGAGCGCAACCCUUAUCCUUUGUUGCCAGCGGUCCGGCCGGGAACUCAAAGGAGACUGCCAGUGAUAAACUGGAGGAAGGUGGGGAUGACGUCAAGUCAUCAUGGCCCUUACGACCAGGGCUACACACGUGCUACAAUGGCGCAUACAAAGAGAAGCGACCUCGCGAGAGCAAGCGGACCUCAUAAAGUGCGUCGUAGUCCGGAUUGGAGUCUGCAACUCGACUCCAUGAAGUCGGAAUCGCUAGUAAUCGUGGAUCAGAAUGCCACGGUGAAUACGUUCCCGGGCCUUGUACACACCGCCCGUCACACCAUGGGAGUGGGUUGCAAAAGAAGUAGGUAGCUUAACCUUCGGGAGGGCGCUUACCACUUUGUGAUUCAUGACUGGGGUGAAGUCGUAACAAGGUAACCGUAGGGGAACCUGCGGUUG
RNAcentral lists this ribosomal RNA (1520 nucleotides) under Escherichia coli JCM 20135. RNAcentral describes it as "bacterial SSU rRNA". It matches the Rfam family "Bacterial small subunit ribosomal RNA". Lineage: Bacteria; Pseudomonadati; Pseudomonadota; Gammaproteobacteria; Enterobacterales; Enterobacteriaceae. The record is from RNAcentral.